Molecule: long non-coding RNA, 541 nt
Organism: Homo sapiens (human)
Lineage: Eukaryota; Metazoa; Chordata; Mammalia; Primates; Hominidae
Exons: 3
Source: RefSeq, a predicted model, not a curated record
ACAUUUUGCAUGCAAAGAAAGCCAGAGUGGCUAGAUUACUCCCUUAGGGUAAUGGAGAAAGGAAAAAGAAAUUGAAAAAGGUCAGGUGAACAAAGCAGAAGGAAUGAAGAGGUUUGUGUGAUUCUUAGUGAAAUUGGACCAGUCUAAGCAACCAGACAGUGCAGUUCAGGAAACCAGGCUGAAGAAUGUGAAAUACAUCGCCCAAAGUCAGACACGGAGGAACAACUGCUUCGGAGCUAGCAAUUUCCUGAGCUGGAAUUGCACCACUGGCCUGUAGAAUCCAAACUGUUUUCUACCAGAACAACUCCUUCCCUGCAGGAAGCAGGGUGUGCACAGCUGAACCCUGGUCUGAGAAGGUUGAAGUCACUGACUCAGCCCCAGCAAGGAAGUUGCCCUUCGACUUCUGACCUCUGGCCCUGUUUGAAAACCAACUCAAAUCGUUUUUCUUUUUCAGAAGCUGCUUGCCUCCGCUUCACCUUCCACCAUGAUUGUAAGUUUCCUGAGGCCUCCCAGUCAUGCUUGCCGUUAAAACUGUGGAACU